AAAUACAUUUACAUUAAGGAGAAUCAACAAAGGUGAACUUUUCAUUACUGGAGAACGCUAACUUACUUAUAAAUAGGUGUGUCUCAGCAGCAGAUCUUCAAACGACACAUCAUACAGUAUCUGAGAGCUUGUGAUUCAUUGUGCUUGGUUUCAGAAUGCAGGGCCAGCCUCGCUUUCCAACUUCAGUCUCUGUUAACUCAGCGAAGCAGAA
Molecule: long non-coding RNA, 211 nt
Organism: Misgurnus anguillicaudatus (oriental weatherfish)
Lineage: Eukaryota; Metazoa; Chordata; Actinopteri; Cypriniformes; Cobitidae
Source: RefSeq, a predicted model, not a curated record